RNAcentral lists this ribosomal RNA (1235 nucleotides) under human gut metagenome. Its description in RNAcentral is "bacterial LSU rRNA". It matches the Rfam family "Bacterial large subunit ribosomal RNA", at positions 1133 to 2351 of the family's 2925-position model. The record is from RNAcentral.
CGUAAUAGCUCACUGGUCGAGUCGGCCUGCGCGGAAGAUGUAACGGGGCUAAACCAUGCACCGAAGCUGCGGCAGCGACACUAUGUGUUGUUGGGUAGGGGAGCGUUCUGUAAGCCUGUGAAGGUGGCCUGUGAGGGUUGCUGGAGGUAUCAGAAGUGCGAAUGCUGACAUAAGUAACGAUAAAGCGGGUGAAAAGCCCGCUCGCCGGAAGACCAAGGGUUCCUGUCCAACGUUAAUCGGGGCAGGGUGAGUCGACCCCUAAGGCGAGGCCGAAAGGCGUAGUCGAUGGGAAACAGGUUAAUAUUCCUGUACUUGGUGUUACUGCGAAGGGGGGACGGAGAAGGCUAUGUUGGCCGGGCGACGGUUGUCCCGGUUUAAGCGUGUAGGCUGGUUUUCCAGGCAAAUCCGGAAAACCAAGGCUGAGGCGUGAUGACGAGGCACUACGGUGCUGAAGCGACAAAUGCCCUGCUUCCAGGAAAAGCCUCUAAGCAUCAGGUAACAUCAAAUCGUACCCCAAACCGACACAGGUGGUCAGGUAGAGAAUACCAAGGCGCUUGAGAGAACUCGGGUGAAGGAACUAGGCAAAAUGGUGCCGUAACUUCGGGAGAAGGCACGCUGAUAUGUAGGUGAAGCGACUUGCUCGUGGAGCUGAAAUCAGUCGAAGAUACCAGCUGGCUGCAACUGUUUAUUAAAAACACAGCACUGUGCAAACACGAAAGUGGACGUAUACGGUGUGACGCCUGCCCGGUGCCGGAAGGUUAAUUGAUGGGGUUAGCGGCAACGCGAAGCUCUUGAUCGAAGCCCCGGUAAACGGCGGCCGUAACUAUAACGGUCCUAAGGUAGCGAAAUUCCUUGUCGGGUAAGUUCCGACCUGCACGAAUGGCGUAAUGAUGGCCAGGCUGUCUCCACCCGAGACUCAGUGAAAUUGAACUCGCUGUGAAGAUGCAGUGUACCCGCGGCAAGACGGAAAGACCCCGUGAACCUUUACUAUAGCUUGACACUGAACAUUGAGCCUUGAUGUGUAGGAUAGGUGGGAGGCUUUGAAGUGUGGACGCCAGUCUGCAUGGAGCCGACCUUGAAAUACCACCCUUUAAUGUUUGAUGUUCUAACGUUGGCCCGUAAUCCGGGUUGCGGACAGUGUCUGGUGGGUAGUUUGACUGGGGCGGUCUCCUCCUAAAGAGUAACGGAGGAGCACGAAGGUUGGCUAAUCCUGGUCGGACAUCAGGAGGUUAGUG